Molecule: long non-coding RNA, 893 nt
Organism: Salvelinus fontinalis (brook trout)
Lineage: Eukaryota; Metazoa; Chordata; Actinopteri; Salmoniformes; Salmonidae
Exons: 4
Source: RefSeq, a predicted model, not a curated record
CCACAACUACCCGUGUCAUUUUUUAUACCUCCCUAUAGGGGUUACAUCUUCACACAGAUAUAGACAGACACACAGACGAUACAGAGACAGACACGAACACAGAGACAGACACACAGACAAUACAGAGACAGAAACGAACACAAAGACAGACACACAGACGAUACAGAGACAGACAAGAACACAGACACAGACACAGAGACAGACACGAGGCAUAGGCAACGCUAUCACUAUAACCUGAGACUUAACGUAAAGUACAAUUACAGCACAUAGUACAAAAAGCAUCAGGCAUUGCUGAAGAUGUCUGAAGCUAUCUAUGCCAAGCCAGACAUGGCCAAGAAAGUCAAGUUUGACAGAGGUGAGACGGAGGAGAGGAUUGUGGAUAUCUACGUCAGUGCAGACACCCUGAGAGACCACGAGACCAGCACCAAGACAGAAGAUGUAGAACACACUUCAACUAAAGGACCGGGAGACCAGCACACAGGGCCUGAUAGCACAGGGAAGAGACCUUUCCUAGCUGUUGCGGUGUGUCUGGGGCUGCUGUGUGUUCUCCUACUGGCUGGGAUCAUAGGCCAGUCUGUCCACUAGAUUUCUCUUUAGCCUCAACAAGAGAGUCUGGAUCGGUCUGACUGACAGUGAGACUGAGGGGUCCUGGAAAUGGGUAGACGGCACACCACUGAACACAAGUUACUGGGGGAGCAACCAGCCUAGUAUUGGUGGUCAUCAUUCAACCCAUCAGGAGAAGGACUGUGUUGAACUAAGAGAUGGACAAGAUCAGCCUGAAAAGACAUGGAAUGAUUUAGAGUGUGAUAAAAAAACUGAACUGGAUUUGUGAGAAGUGUGAUAAAUAACCUACUGCAACAAUCUCUCUCUCUCUCUCUCUCUCUCUCUCUCUC